UUAAAGCAAACGAAGUAUAAACACUAGCGCGAGAUACACUUAGCGCGCAGCGAGAGGUAGUUUUACAACUUUUUUUGAAAUUCAUUUUACCACGUAUGUAAGUCUAAAGUUGUUGCUGGUCAAUGUCGUUAGUUGUAUUUCUGGAAUAUACCUCCUAAAUCUCGCUUUGCUGCCCCGCAGACUGACAGUCGCCAUAAACUCCGGUUUGAAGCGGUUCGUCGCGCGAUGCAGUCUCAGAGUCUGAGGCGAAUAAAGAUUAGUCUCAGUUUUGCAGUGUACAUGCGCGAAAUUUUCCUUUUUUCUCCCACGAGAUGAAAUAAUCUCGCUUAAAAUAAGUUAAAGGAGGAAGUUAUGCGACACACUCGUUUUUCUCCGAACAAAAGCGGCACGGACGGAGUCGCUCUCUUCCUGAAACAUUUUCGUGUCAGCCGUGCGGCUCCUCCUGCGUGUUACUGCACUCACACCCGGAUAAGAGUAUUUAGCCCGUCUCCGGGAAACAUUCUCAACCCGUAAAGUCUAUUCUGCACUUGCUGGACUUUCGUUUUGGGAUCCACCGGGACACUUUUCGACUCUUUUCUAUUCUCUGAGGAACGCGGCGACGCCGCCUCGAGCCAGAGAGCGCGUGCGAGGGACACGUCACAGCACAGAGGAGGCGAUCUCGGGCCAGCAGAGACACCCAAUCCACCCCACCCCACCCCCCUCCCCCACGUCAGGCUGCUGAGCUGCAGUCGACCCAACGAGACGAGUUCCUCGUA
Long non-coding RNA from Scleropages formosus (Asian bonytongue), 755 nucleotides. RefSeq lists it as uncharacterized. The record is from RefSeq and is a predicted model, not a curated record. The transcript has 2 exons. Lineage: Eukaryota; Metazoa; Chordata; Actinopteri; Osteoglossiformes; Osteoglossidae.